Molecule: long non-coding RNA, 2665 nt
Filed under: Nicotiana tabacum (common tobacco)
Lineage: Eukaryota; Viridiplantae; Streptophyta; Magnoliopsida; Solanales; Solanaceae
Description: long non-coding RNA (NTAB_LNC001462)
Rfam family: MIR1919 microRNA precursor family (bases 291-445)
Source: RNAcentral
GCAAAUUGUCUAAAAUGAAAAAGAGGAACAUGGUGGUCUCUCGACAAAGAGCCUGACACAAAAAUGGAAAAAGAGUACGCGUUUUUCUUUUUCCGGUAAAUGGUAAUACCUCUAACGCGUUUUUCUUUUUCCGGUAAAUGGUAAUACCUCUAAAGCGUUGAUACAAUACUAUUUAUUUGGUGGAUACUCCAUUUGCCUAGCUCUCACGGGCCGUCUUUACUAACCCUAGAAAAUGUUGAGGAUUUGUCUAUCUCCAAAAUCCGAAUCGCUCCGACGCCUUUGAUGUUCAGAUCUGCCGGUGCUCCUGUCGCAGAUGACUUUCGCCCUUCUCUACAACGACCCUUCAUCAAUUUACAAUGAAGAAAUCAAAUAAUUCAGUGUUUUUCUACUUGGAGGGUUUUUAGUGUGACAAGAGCGAGUCAUCUGUGACAGGAUAAUGGAAGUUCUAUUUAUCAAAGGCUUAUUGGGGCGUUUUCUUCCAUGAUCUCCAACACUAUUCUCCAAAGUACUACAGGUAGACAUUUCUUUACUACUCCAUUAGUUACUACUCCAAAGACAAAGUUGCUUGCAAUUUUUUUUAGGUGAUAUGACGAUGAAAUUUUUAAGAAACAUAAGAGGGUAAUUUCCGGUUUAUUGAGUAGAGUAAAAAAGUUUGAAGAAGAGAGGGAUCAGAUUGGGAUAAUCGGGUUUUUCAUUUUAUGAAAUGAGUUUCAGUUUGUUUUGGGGGUUAAAUUUAUUAAGUGAAAGGUUUUAAUUAUGUCGAACAAUUUGUUGUUAAAUUUAGGGUGUUAGGAGGCAACUGUAAUACACGCACUUAAUUUUUUUUAAAGUUUUUCGCGGGCAAUCUGGAUAGUGUUUAAUUGGCACAGAUGAGGUUUAGUUGGAAUGUCCGAUAGGAACAACCCUAUGUUUAGGUGUCCAAAUGACAAAAAAGCGCCAAGUUUAAGGGUCACUUAUGUAUUCUGCCUAUUUUUAUAUAUACGUACACAUAUACAUACAUAGACAGAGCUAUUUGACUACUUACUCUGCACUUUUAGGUGGGUGGGGUACAUAUAUUAAUGCGUAUUAGUUGCCGCAUAUUUCCAUAAUAUGAUUUGUUAUAAGAACAUUAAGGUAUCCUGAUAGUCAGAGGCGGAUUCAUGAUUUAAAUCCUAUGGGUUCAAUUUUAAGAUUUUUAAUAUUGAACUCAUUAUAUUUUUAAAGUUAUGGGUUCAUAUCUACUAUUUUUGUAAUUUUAAUAAAUUUUUACAUACAAAUUUUUACUUCGUGUCGAAAGUUAUGGGUUCAGUUGAACCUAGUAUGCUACAUCCGCCUCCGCUGACAGUGGUCUUGUAAAUUUUUUUGAUACAGCUUUUUAUUAUGACUAAUGCACAAAGCUAUUAGGUGUCUCUCAAGCAAAGUGAUUCCUUCCCCGCUGAAUUUAAUUGUUGAUUAGGAUAGAUCUUUGAUAAUUGUCAUACAAUUAUGUAUAGUAUCUGAAAAGGGGUGAAUGAAGAAGGAAAUGAUGAAUGAUUGAUGAAAAGGCGUCUUAAUUUAGUGUUUGUUGAAGUGUUGUGGAAUGUGGACAUUGAGGUACUCUCUCCUAGGAUGCCAGAUUUGCUCACUGUUUCACUGGGAUUAUGCUUACCAUUGAUAACUUAAUCAACAGACAAAAGUUCUUGCAAAGCAUUGUGCACAUGAACUUCCAUGGUUUGAUUAAUUGUCAACCAUUUUGCGAAAAGACAAGACUAAGGGUGUGUUUGGUAAGAAGGGAAACAUUUUUUAAUUUUUUCAUAUUUGGUUGGUUUAAAUGUUUUCCCUAUCAAGGAAAAUAUUUUCCAAAACUCUUUUUCAACUUUUUCAUUAGUCAGUUAGGCGGGUUAAAUUAGCUUAGACGUCAAAGUUUUGUUAGUUUGCUUAGUUUUGUAGUUCUUAAAAGAAUAUAUACACACCUGUUUUAUUGCUAGUUUUGUUCUUAAAAGAUUAUCUUUUGACAGUCAAAGAUACGAUAUUUCCUUGUCUCACCAAAUCUUUGACUGUCAGAAACUUGAUUUGCAUGAGUUUGGUGCAACUAGUCAGUUUAUUGUUCUCAGAAAAGAACACAACUGCAAUGAUAUCAUUAUAAUAUUACAACAGGUCUCUACGUCAAGUGCACAGCUCUGAGUUUUAAAAUGAAGUUACUGCACUGCAUGUGUAAAUGAACUAUAACGAGCUAAGAAGUGAGUUUUGCUCAGCAUCUGAGUAACCAAUUGCUUCUAGACUAUUAAUCUUUCUAUAUGCCAACACAUUGUCGUCGGUGUUUCUAAAUAUAUCUUAUGAUUCUCUUGGUUGCAACUUGCAACCUAACGAUCAUGACUAGGAUUAAGCAAGUACCCGUCGAGGAAUUUACUGUGUAAGUUAUGAUAUUCAUAAGCAUAUAUCAAAUAAGGAACAUCUUUCAUAGGUUCUCUUCAUUUUAUUUUUGAGGCACUUCUUCGUCUUAUGAUUUGUCUCCUUUGACCAUUGGUACAUCUUCAAUCUUGUAACAUAGUUUUUGGAAAAUUCUCGCACAUAAGACUUCUGAGAUAACCCAAAAAUAAUACAGUAUCUAUUAUCCUCAGAACAUUAUCUAUUACAAUGAAUCUCGAUGCUUUACUACUUGCAAGCAGAACAUUAUCCACAUGAAGUAUGAGAAUAAUGGAUCUUC